GGGUGAUUAGCUCAGCUGGGAGAGGCACCUCCCUUACAAGGAGGGGGUCGGCGGUUCGAUCCCGUCAUCACCCACCA
RNAcentral lists this transfer RNA (77 nucleotides) under Salmonella bongori. Its description in RNAcentral is "tRNA-Val(tac)". It matches the Rfam family "tRNA". Rfam says of the family: Transfer RNA (tRNA) molecules are approximately 80 nucleotides in length. Their secondary structure includes four short double-helical elements and three loops (D, anti-codon, and T loops). The record is from RNAcentral. Lineage: Bacteria; Pseudomonadati; Pseudomonadota; Gammaproteobacteria; Enterobacterales; Enterobacteriaceae.